CACGUAGGGACCGAGCGUUGUCCGGAUUUAUUGGGCGUAAAGAGCUCGUAGGCGGUUUUGUAAGUCGGAUGUGAAAACUCAGGGCUCAACCCGGAGACGCCAUCCGAUACUGCAAUGACUCGAGUCCGGUAGGGGAGCAUGGAAUUCCUGGUGUAGCGGUGGAAUGCGCAGAUAUCAGGAGGAACACCAGUGGCGAAGGCGGUGCUCUGGGCCGGUACUGACGCUGAGGAGCGAAAGCGUGGGGAGCAAACAGG
Molecule: unclassified non-coding RNA, 254 nt
Filed under: uncultured Acidimicrobiia bacterium
Lineage: Bacteria; Bacillati; Actinomycetota; Acidimicrobiia
Description: contains 16S-23S intergenic spacer region
Rfam family: Bacterial small subunit ribosomal RNA
Source: RNAcentral